AGCUGGUCCAAGGGCAGCGGUGUUUACAACUAACUGAUCACAACCAGUUACAGAUUUCUUUGUUCCUUUUCCAUUCCCUCUGCUUCACCUGACGAGCCUAAA
Unclassified non-coding RNA from Chlorocebus sabaeus (green monkey), 102 nucleotides. It matches the Rfam family "Y RNA". From Rfam's summary of the family: Y RNAs are components of the Ro ribonucleoprotein particle (Ro RNP), in association with Ro60 and La proteins. The Y RNAs and Ro60 and La proteins are well conserved, but the function of the Ro RNP is not known. The record is from Ensembl. NCBI's taxonomy places the organism in Eukaryota, Metazoa, Chordata, Mammalia, Primates, Cercopithecidae.